GGGUUGUGAGGUUAAGCGACUAAGCGUACACGGUGGAUGCCCUGGCAGUCAGAGGCGAUGAAGGACGUGCUAAUCUGCGAUAAGCGUCGGUAAGGUGAUAUGAACCGUUAUAACCGGCGAUUUCCGAAUGGGGAAACCCAGUGUGAUUCGUCACACUAUCAUUAACUGAAUCCAUAGGUUAAUGAGGCGAACCGGGGGAACUGAAACAUCUAAGUACCCCGAGGAAAAGAAAUCAACCGAGAUUCCCCCAGUAGCGGCGAGCGAACGGGGAGCAGCCCAGAGCCUGAAUCAGUGUGUGUGUUAGUGGAAGCGUCUGGAAAGGCGCGCGAUACAGGGUGACAGCCCCGUACACAAAAAUGCACAUACUGUGAGCUCGAUGAGUAGGGCGGGACACGUGGUAUCCUGUCUGAAUAUGGGGGGACCAUCCUCCAAGGCUAAAUACUCCUGACUGACCGAUAGUGAACCAGUACCGUGAGGGAAAGGCGAAAAGAACCCCGGCGAGGGGAGUGAAAAAGAACCUGAAACCGUGUACGUACAAGCAGUGGGAGCACGCUUAGGCGUGUGACUGCGUACCUUUUGUAUAAUGGGUCAGCGACUUAUAUUCUGUAGCAAGGUUAACCGAAUAGGGGAGCCGAAGGGAAACCGAGUCUUAACUGGGCGUUAAGUUGCAGGGUAUAGACCCGAAACCCGGUGAUCUAGCCAUGGGCAGGUUGAAGGUUGGGUAACACUAACUGGAGGACCGAACCGACUAAUGUUGAAAAAUUAGCGGAUGACUUGUGGCUGGGGGUGAAAGGCCAAUCAAACCGGGAGAUAGCUGGUUCUCCCCGAAAGCUAUUUAGGUAGCGCCUCGUGAAUUCAUCUCCGGGGGUAGAGCACUGUUUCGGCAAGGGGGUCAUCCCGACUUACCAACCCGAUGCAAACUGCGAAUACCGGAGAAUGUUAUCACGGGAGACACACGGCGGGUGCUAACGUCCGUCGUGAAGAGGGAAACAACCCAGACCGCCAGCUAAGGUCCCAAAGUCAUGGUUAAGUGGGAAACGAUGUGGGAAGGCCCAGACAGCCAGGAUGUUGGCUUAGAAGCAGCCAUCAUUUAAAGAAAGCGUAAUAGCUCACUGGUCGAGUCGGCCUGCGCGGAAGAUGUAACGGGGCUAAACCAUGCACCGAAGCUGCGGCAGCGACGCUUAUGCGUUGUUGGGUAGGGGAGCGUUCUGUAAGCCUGCGAAGGUGUGCUGUGAGGCAUGCUGGAGGUAUCAGAAGUGCGAAUGCUGACAUAAGUAACGAUAAAGCGGGUGAAAAGCCCGCUCGCCGGAAGACCAAGGGUUCCUGUCCAACGUUAAUCGGGGCAGGGUGAGUCGACCCCUAAGGCGAGGCCGAAAGGCGUAGUCGAUGGGAAACAGGUUAAUAUUCCUGUACUUGGUGUUACUGCGAAGGGGGGACGGAGAAGGCUAUGUUGGCCGGGCGACGGUUGUCCCGGUUUAAGCGUGUAGGCUGGUUUUCCAGGCAAAUCCGGAAAAUCAAGGCUGAGGCGUGAUGACGAGGCACUACGGUGCUGAAGCAACAAAUGCCCUGCUUCCAGGAAAAGCCUCUAAGCAUCAGGUAACAUCAAAUCGUACCCCAAACCGACACAGGUGGUCAGGUAGAGAAUACCAAGGCGCUUGAGAGAACUCGGGUGAAGGAACUAGGCAAAAUGGUGCCGUAACUUCGGGAGAAGGCACGCUGAUAUGUAGGUGAAGUCCCUCGCGGAUGGAGCUGAAAUCAGUCGAAGAUACCAGCUGGCUGCAACUGUUUAUUAAAAACACAGCACUGUGCAAACACGAAAGUGGACGUAUACGGUGUGACGCCUGCCCGGUGCCGGAAGGUUAAUUGAUGGGGUCAGCGCAAGCGAAGCUCUUGAUCGAAGCCCCGGUAAACGGCGGCCGUAACUAUAACGGUCCUAAGGUAGCGAAAUUCCUUGUCGGGUAAGUUCCGACCUGCACGAAUGGCGUAAUGAUGGCCAGGCUGUCUCCACCCGAGACUCAGUGAAAUUGAACUCGCUGUGAAGAUGCAGUGUACCCGCGGCAAGACGGAAAGACCCCGUGAACCUUUACUAUAGCUUGACACUGAACAUUGAGCCUUGAUGUGUAGGAUAGGUGGGAGGCUUUGAAGUGUGGACGCCAGUCUGCAUGGAGCCGACCUUGAAAUACCACCCUUUAAUGUUUGAUGUUCUAACGUUGACCCGUAAUCCGGGUUGCGGACAGUGUCUGGUGGGUAGUUUGACUGGGGCGGUCUCCUCCUAAAGAGUAACGGAGGAGCACGAAGGUUGGCUAAUCCUGGUCGGACAUCAGGAGGUUAGUGCAAUGGCAUAAGCCAGCUUGACUGCGAGCGUGACGGCGCGAGCAGGUGCGAAAGCAGGUCAUAGUGAUCCGGUGGUUCUGAAUGGAAGGGCCAUCGCUCAACGGAUAAAAGGUACUCCGGGGAUAACAGGCUGAUACCGCCCAAGAGUUCAUAUCGACGGCGGUGUUUGGCACCUCGAUGUCGGCUCAUCACAUCCUGGGGCUGAAGUAGGUCCCAAGGGUAUGGCUGUUCGCCAUUUAAAGUGGUACGCGAGCUGGGUUUAGAACGUCGUGAGACAGUUCGGUCCCUAUCUGCCGUGGGCGCUGGAGAAUUGAGGGGGGCUGCUCCUAGUACGAGAGGACCGGAGUGGACGCAUCACUGGUGUUCGGGUUGUCAUGCCAAUGGCACUGCCCGGUAGCUAAAUGCGGAAGAGAUAAGUGCUGAAAGCAUCUAAGCACGAAACUUGCCCCGAGAUGAGUUCUCCCUGACCCUUUAAGGGUCCUGAAGGAACGUUGAAGACGACGACGUUGAUAGGCCGGGUGUGUAAGCGCAGCGAUGCGUUGAGCUAACCGGUACUAAUGAACCGUGAGGCUUAACCUUACAACGCCGAAG
RNAcentral lists this ribosomal RNA (2925 nucleotides) under Escherichia coli. RNAcentral describes it as "bacterial LSU rRNA". It matches the Rfam family "Bacterial large subunit ribosomal RNA". The record is from RNAcentral. Lineage: Bacteria; Pseudomonadati; Pseudomonadota; Gammaproteobacteria; Enterobacterales; Enterobacteriaceae.